UACAGAGGGUGCAAGCGUUAAUCGGAAUUACUGGGCGUAAAGCGCGCGUAGGUGGUUCGUUAAGUUGGAUGUGAAAUCCCCGGGCUCAACCUGGGAACUGCAUUCAAAACUGUCGAGCUAGAGUAUGGUAGAGGGUGGUGGAAUUUCCUGUGUAGCGGUGAAAUGCGUAGAUAUAGGAAGGAACACCAGUGGCGAAGGCGACCACCUGGACUGAUACUGACACUGGGGUGCGAAAGCGUGGGGAGCAAACAGG
RNAcentral lists this ribosomal RNA (253 nucleotides) under uncultured bacterium. Its description in RNAcentral is "partial 16S ribosomal RNA". It matches the Rfam family "Bacterial small subunit ribosomal RNA", at positions 524 to 776 of the family's 1533-position model. The record is from RNAcentral.